RNAcentral lists this unclassified non-coding RNA (334 nucleotides) under soil metagenome. Its description in RNAcentral is "partial contains 5.8S ribosomal RNA, internal transcribed spacer 2, and large subunit ribosomal RNA". The stretch from base 1 to 120 matches the Rfam family "5.8S ribosomal RNA", at positions 35 to 154 of the family's 154-position model. The record is from RNAcentral.
GAUGAAGAACGCAGCGAAAUGCGAUAAGUAAUGUGAAUUGCAGAAUUCAGUGAAUCAUCGAAUCUUUGAACGCACAUUGCGCCCGCCAGUAUUCUGGCGGGCAUGCCUGUUCGAGCGUCAUUUCAACCAUCAAGCCCCAGGCUUGUGUUGGAUCCCUGCGGCUGCCGCAGCCUCCCAAAACCAGUGGCGGGCUCGCUAUCACACCGAGUGCAGUAGUUUACUCUUCGCUCAGGGCGUGUGGCGGGUGCUAGCCGUAAAACCCCCAACUUCUCAAGGUUGACCUCGGAUCAGGUAGGAAUACCCGCUGAACUUAAGCAUAUCAAUAAGCGGAGGA